Meleagris gallopavo (turkey) is the source of this 3273-nucleotide non-coding RNA. The record is from RefSeq and is a predicted model, not a curated record. NCBI's taxonomy places the organism in Eukaryota, Metazoa, Chordata, Aves, Galliformes, Phasianidae.
GGUAUUCUCUACUGUUAUCUGCUUAUUUCAAUGAACUAAUUGCAACACCUGGAAUCAAUUCUUUCUCGGCCACUGGGAAAUUACUGCAAUAUCUUUCCCCAGAGUUUACUACUUUUAUACUGUGAGUAUUGUUCAGUAACUUUUUUUCUCUUUUUUCUUAGCACCAUGAUUAUAAUUUCCACAUUUUGUGCAUGUGGGCAUCUAAGUUCUACAAAACUAGGAGAACCUACUGGGUACUCUUUGCCAGCAAAGUAAUCCUUCAACAUCUAAUGGAACAUGUGAUCAGUUGAAAUGCAGACCAUAUUCACUUGAGUUUGUUGAAGAUGGAUAUCUUUAAAUACAAUAAUUUCAAGACUAUAACUACCUGAAUGCAGUCAGGAAAGAAAUCUUACACACAGCACUGGGUUUCUUGGUUGUAAUGUACACAAGAGAAGUUCAACUGCUGCUUUUCAUUGUACGACUUCAGGACGUCCAUCAGUACAAAACACAUUGCAGUUGUGUUGUUGCUGCAGGAAGUGAUAUCAUGCCAACGUUUUCAUGAAAUCUCUGUUCAGAUGACUAUUUCAUAAUUUUAUGUGAUCUGUCUUAAUUCUAAAAUAUUUAUGACUAGUUGAUACUGAGUAGUGUGAGCUUUUUCUCUAAUUGCUUUCUCUUGAGAGGUUUCAUCUCGAGAAGCAGUAAAGUAACUGGGGAAUACAUGCAUGACUUGAUUUUACCAUCCACGCCUAGACAAUUUUUCAGACAAUGUUUAUGUUACCUUUUUCCAGUUAAAAAAACAAACAAACAAACAAAAAAACCACAAUCUUUUACCUAUAGAUUAGUUUUAAAGAUCAUUGAAGUAAGGAUAAAAGUUCUGAUUAAACACUGAAGGUACUGUAACCUUAACAAAUAAUGCUUACCCAGUUAAAGGUAUAGGAUUUUCUUAGGUUAUAAUAAUGCACUUUUAAAACUCUGUUAGUUUUCAAACUCUAUGAGCUCUUGAAGCAAAUCUAUUCAACUUCUGGCCAUGAUAUUUUAAUACACACCACAGCAAAGGUCAUGAUUUUUCUUUUGACUAGGGAAGUAGAUAAAUUCUGUGAUUUUUGGUGUUCAGAAAAACAUUUUAUAGUGGAAGGAUGAAAUGACCCGAAACUUUGAAACGCGGUUAGAGUAAAUCAUCUGUAACACUUUGAACGGCCAACAUACAACUUCCUGUUUAAAAACUAUGACUAAAAUUGGAGUAUGUCUGUAAUAUUUGAAUCUCACCUCAGCACCUAUCAGAACAACAGCACAGCAUUACUAAUUACUCUGGAAAAAUAGAUAGAAAUGUUACAAAGCUUUUAAGUAUGGCAGUAGAAAGUUUCACCAAUUAUGAAAGUUAAAUAUUUGCAAAUUGGAAAACAAAAGUAACAAGUUAUUUUGCUGAUGGUUUUGGAGGUGUACCAUAGAUUUAAUUCUGUAAAAUAAUAUUAGCUGGAAGAUAUGCAGCACUUCUUGUCCCAGCUAGGAGUGACAACAUUCGUGUGAUUUAUUGAGUCUAUCAGAGUAUCUGUGGCAUUUCACUGCAUAAUGACACAAAUGCAUAUGCAGUUGUGCUACAGCACAAAGCAGUCCUUUACAGUCCUGCAGACAGCUCAUCCUGUGACACUUCUGCAUUGAUUAGCACUAUUCCUUGGGAUUUAUUUCGCUCUGAUGAGAUUGUGGAGAGAGAUUUGUAAAUCUCUGAGGCAUGCUUUGAAAGUAGAGAACUGUCCAAAACUAUCCUGAACUUAGAAGUUUCAAUUACUUAUUAUGAGAAAUACUGUGAAAUCUAACUCUUAUCAAAAACACAAUUCAAUUUAGGAAUACCAAAGAUUUAAAUUCUCCCUUCUAGCUGUAGAUGUCCCUGUUCGUUGCAGGGAAAUUGGAUGAGAUACCCCUUAAGGGUACCUUCCCACUCAAAAAGUUCUGUGUACUGCUACAAGAUCUUUAUGCCAUGAAAUUUUCAGCUUUGUUUUUUUCUGUCUCAGAAACUGAUUUGAAAAACAGCUUUGAGCUCUGAGGGAAGAGAAAUUCUUCCCCAUUGAUUUCAUCACCCCUUUGUCUAAAUCUUCCUGCAAACAUUACAGUUUAUGUGUUGACUUAAGCAUCACUCAGUUGCUGUUUGACCAAGGUAUGAAUACUAAGUAUGGCAUUUACACUCAAGUCGUCUUUUUGGUACUAAGUGUGCAGUAUCAAUAGUAACACAGAACUACUUAUCAAGAAAGAUGAUCAUGCUUUUAUAAUUUUGAAUUUUGGAUAGGAGUGAAUCAAUAAAAAUCUGUCGUGACUUAAAAGGAAAAAAACAGUAUUUAAAUCAGUCUUUUGAUUAGCCAACAAUUUUGAAUUUCUUAAAAUGUGUAAAGGACAUAUAAAUAAAAAAGAAAAUACUUGUCUGGCUCUUUCUAAGUGUCUGUCAAAACAUUUGCAGGCACUAAAAUAGUUUGCUAUACAGAAAAUAUUCUCCUCUGGUAAAAGCAUAUGACUGAACAACAGCUACUGAUUGCUAAGCAUGUCAUAGAUUACUAUUAAGGAUGACAGCAACAACAAAAGAUGCAAGACUGAGAAACAAGAUUUCCCAGGAUUUGCUCUUGCUCAAGUUUGUGAGAAAGGAAAAAGCAAUUUUAUAUUUCUCUGGAGUUUUCAUUCAUUUAAAAUGAAAAUUCUGUCUGAGCUGGCUCUCUCAUUUGAUGAGCCAAAGUGUGCCUCAGCUACUGACCUUUUGCAAUCUUAUAGUCCUAGUGUUCCCCAGUGCAAUUCUAGCAGUAGAUUCGAGCUUCUCACAGGUUAAUUUUGUUGGUAGCUUCUUUUGCUGGUGAUAAUCAUCAUACCUCAUGUUAUUUUUUUUCCUGUUGGUAGUUUUUCUAGUGCCAGACAGGACAGCAUCACAGGGUCUUGCUAUGCAUUGAGGCGGGUACUCUUUGUCACCUGAAUGUAAGGAAGGUGAAAGAAAGAUAAAGCAAAGCAUUUCUAAAAACAAAAAUGAAAAGAGAUAAAGGUAGAGAGUUACUUGGAAUAUUGCAGUAUGUGAGUUAAUUUAGGAUCUUUUCCACUACAACUUCAAAACCAGGCUUUGAUACCCUUAGCUCCUCUCAAAGUGGGAUAAGAACAGCUUCAUACAAUACCUAUCCAUCUAAAAUAAGGAUUUUUCUGUGCUAAGGUGGAGUGUUCACAUACUCUUCAGAUCACCGCAAAAGUCAAAAGCAACACAAUUAAAUGUAUUCCUCCUUAAUGCAAAUGAAACACAUCUUGAAAACAUGUCAGUAAUUGACACUA